AAACGUAAAUUUAACCUACACAUACAACGCCAGGGUACUACGAGCUUCAGCUUAAAACCCAAAGGACUUGACGGUGUCCCAUCCAACUAGAGGAGCCUGUUCUACAAUCGAUACUCCACGAUAUACCUAACCAUUUCUUGCUACUCAGCCCGUAUACCUCCGUCGUAAGCUUACCGUAUGAACGCACAACAGUAAGCCCAAGGGUUUAAUACCAUAACGUCAGGUCAAGGUGCAGCUCAUGAAAUGGAAGCAAUGGGCUACAAUUUCUAAUUUAGAACAAACGAAACACUGCAUGAAACACAGUCAUGAAGGAGGAUUUAGCAGUAAAUAGGGAAUAGAGAGCCCUAUUAAACUCGGCCCUGGGACAUGUACAAACCGCCCGUCACCCUCUUCAACAGCCUUUCACUUAGUUUAUAACUUAACUAUGCACCCUAGAAGAGGUAAGUCGUAACAUGGUAAGUAUACUGGAAAGUGUGCUUGGAACA
This 485-nucleotide ribosomal RNA is filed under the name Ghatixalus variabilis (green tree frog). RNAcentral describes it as "partial 12S ribosomal RNA". It matches the Rfam family "Bacterial small subunit ribosomal RNA", at positions 842 to 1525 of the family's 1533-position model. Lineage: Eukaryota; Metazoa; Chordata; Amphibia; Anura; Rhacophoridae. The record is from RNAcentral.